RNAcentral lists this ribosomal RNA (376 nucleotides) under uncultured Verrucomicrobiota bacterium. RNAcentral's name for it is "bacterial SSU rRNA". It matches the Rfam family "Bacterial small subunit ribosomal RNA", at positions 521 to 896 of the family's 1533-position model. Lineage: Bacteria; Pseudomonadati; Verrucomicrobiota. The record is from RNAcentral.
UAAUACGGAGACCUCGAGCGUUACUCGGAUUCACUGGGCGUAAAGGGUGCGUAGGCGGUCGUGUGUGUCAGGUGUGAAAUCCCGGGGCUUAACCUCGGAACUGCGCCUGAAACUACACGACUAGAGUCUCGGAGAGGGUAGUGGAAUUUCGGGUGUAGCGGUGAAAUGCGUAGAUAUCCGAAGGAACACCAGUGGCGAAGGCGACUACCUGGACGAGAACUGACGCUGAGGCACGAAAGCGUGGGUGGCGAAAGGGAUUAGAUACCCCUGUAGUCCACGCCGUAAACGUUGCACACUAGGUCUUGGGGGGUCUACCCCCUCAGGGCCCUAGCUAACGCGUUAAGUGUGCCGCCUGAGGACUACGGCCGCAAGGCUA